AGAACGAACGCUGGCGGCGUGCCUAACACAUGCAAGUCGAACGUGAUCCAUCCUUCGGGGUGGUGAAAGUGGCGCACGGGUGAGUAACGCGUGGAUAAUCUGCCCGAGGAUUUGGGAUAACAUCUCGAAAGGGGUGCUAAUACCGAAUAAGCCCACGGGGUCUACGGAUCUUGCGGGAAAAGGGGGGGACUUUCGGGCCUCCUGUCUUCGGAUGAGUCCGCGUACCAUUAGCUAGUUGGUAGGGUAAUGGCCUACCAAGGCGACGAUGGUUAGCUGGUCUGAGAGGAUGAUCAGCCACACUGGAACUGAGACACGGUCCAGACUCCUACGGGAGGCAGCAGUGGGGAAUUUUGCGCAAUGGGGGAAACCCUGACGCAGCAACGCCGCGUGGGUGAUGAAGGCCUUCGGGUCGUAAAGCUCUGUCUGGAGGGAAGAAAUGAUUGGGAGCUAAUACCUCUUGAUCUUGACGGUACCUCUGAAGGAAGCACCGGCUAACUCCGUGCCAGCAGCCGCGGUAAUACGGAGGGUGCAAGCGUUGUUCGGAAUUAUUGGGCGUAAAGCGCGUGUAGGCGGUCUUUUAAGUCUGAUGUGAAAGCCCCGGGCUCAACCUGGGAAGUGCAUUGGAAACUGGGAGGCUUGAGUACGGGAGAGGAGACUGGAAUACUUGGUGUAGCAGUGAAAUGCGUAGAUAUCAAGUGGAACACCAGUGGCGAAGGCGAGUCUCUGGACAUUUCCUACCGCUAGCCC
Molecule: ribosomal RNA, 747 nt
Filed under: uncultured bacterium
Lineage: Bacteria
Description: bacterial SSU rRNA
Rfam family: Bacterial small subunit ribosomal RNA
Source: RNAcentral